This 536-nucleotide ribosomal RNA is filed under the name Caridina nilotica macrophora. RNAcentral describes it as "partial large subunit ribosomal RNA". It matches the Rfam family "Bacterial large subunit ribosomal RNA", at positions 1832 to 2623 of the family's 2925-position model. Lineage: Eukaryota; Metazoa; Arthropoda; Malacostraca; Decapoda; Atyidae. The record is from RNAcentral.
UGCACGAGUUGUUAUGUGCAGUCUGGCCUGCCCCCUGAAAUUUUUAAAGGGCCGCGGUAUUUGGACCGUGCUAAGGUAGCAUAAUAAAUAGUCUUUUAAUUGAAGUCUAGUAUGAAUGGUCGGACACGAAGUAGGCUGUUUCAGCUCUGAUGUUUGAAUUUUACUUUUAAGUGAAAAGGCUUAAAUUAAAUGGUGGGACGAUAAGACCCUAUAAAGCUUUACAUUUUACUUUUAAGUUGUGGGAUCUAAGGUUUUCUAUUCUUGCCGGGUAAAGUGUUUCGUUGGGGCGACGGGAAUAUAAAAAAGUAACUGUUUUUGGUUGAAAAAUAUAUUUUUAUAGGUGAAUUGAUCCUUUUUAAAGAUUAUAAGAUCUAAGUUACUUUAGGGAUAACAGCGUAAUUUAUCUUGAGAGUUCAUAUCGACAGAUAUAGUUGCGACCUCGAUGUUGAAUUAAAAUACCCCCCAGGUGUAGCAGUUUUGGUGGUAGGUCUGUUCGACCUUUAAAAUUUUACAUGAUUUGAGUUCAGACCGGCGUG